CAGCCUGAAAUGAUGAUUCUUUAAAUUUCAUGUCUCUUCUCUGACAUUUUUCUCUGGAGGUAGUUCUUGCCUUAUUGAUCUGAUUAGGCUG
Molecule: small nucleolar RNA, 91 nt
Organism: Balaenoptera musculus (blue whale)
Lineage: Eukaryota; Metazoa; Chordata; Mammalia; Artiodactyla; Balaenopteridae
Gene: SNORD111
Product: small nucleolar RNA, C/D box 111
Source: Ensembl